RNAcentral lists this ribosomal RNA (254 nucleotides) under uncultured bacterium. Its description in RNAcentral is "partial 16S ribosomal RNA". It matches the Rfam family "Bacterial small subunit ribosomal RNA", at positions 524 to 776 of the family's 1533-position model. The record is from RNAcentral.
CACGUAGGGGGGCGAGCGUUGUCCGGAUUUAUUGGGCGUAAAGAGCUCGUAGGCGGUCUGUUGCGUCGGCUGUGAAAACCCGGGGCUCAACCCCGGGCCUGCAGCCGAUACGGGCAGACUAGAGUUCGGCAGGGGAGACUGGAAUUCCUGGUGUAGCGGUGAAAUGCGCAGAUAUCAGGAGGAACACCAAUUGCGAAGGCAGCUCACUAAACAGAGAUUGACGCUGAGGCACGAAAGCGUGGGGAUCAAACAGG